CUCACACCUAGAUAUUGCGUAUACAAUUCCAUUUAAAUCAUAAUUAUAUUUUUUUAAAGGGAAAAAGCUUUCACCAUCGUUUAUCAACGGUGGUUGGUUUGUAGUUAGGUGACUCCUGUCUGACUGAAGUCGAAGAUCAGCGCAAUGGAGGGAGACAAUGAUGCUUGCUCGAUUUGCACUUCGAUCUGAGCUGAGAGCUUCUGUUUCUGUUCGAUACUCUGGUUCUUGCUGUUUUAUUUCUCUGCAUCCGCAGCCUCAGCGAUGCUGAAAGGACGAUCCGAGAAGGUCUCAUAAAUGACUGGAGCAGAGAUGAAAUCAAAGCCGUAUAUGAUUCCCCUGUUCUUGACCUCCUCUUCCAUGGAGCAUGUGCAUAACUUCACGGAAGUACAGCAAUGUACUCUUCUCUCCAUAAAGAUUGGUGGGUGCAGUGAGCAAAUCAUUGAAAGCUUCCCAAAAUCAUUAUUGAUACAUGGCCUAUCCGGUUAGUGAUGCUUGAGUGCUAAUGGUAUGGUUUGCUCUGCAUUUUCCUGGUGGUAACAUGCGGGACUCAUUCCUAGAUGGCUCGUCUUUAGUAGCCCCUACUCGAACAGGUGGGAGUGUAGUUUGUGGUGCAGGUUCUUCCUCAGCUUUCGUUGGAUCCAGGGUUGGGAUUUGGUUGGUAGGGACUAACUGAGACUGAGGUUGGAUCUCAUUAAGAAGCCUAGCAGAGUUGAUAAAUAGGAGGAGAGUGGCGGAUAUGAGGAAGAGAAUGAUGGUUAGUCUGAGCUUGGAUCUCUAUGUUCUUCAUUUUCUUCGGAUGCAACAUCAUAAUAUCAUCUCCCACACCCAAAACCACAUAACCCUCCUUUCCCUUCUCCUUCAAAAACCACCAGAUCACUCGAUCAUCUCUGCGAAUCGAAGGCAAACCCAUAAAGUCGCUUCCUUCGUGAGUAGCCUCGGCAGCUAUACUCUUCUCAUCGGUUUCUUCGUCGCCAAAAGCGUUAGUAUAUUACGUUUCCCCUAAUUAGUAGAUUUCUUAAUCUAAUUUUCUUAAAUGAAAAGUAGUAAACAUCUCCUUGCUCUUUCACUGUUAGAAUGUGCCUUAGUCAAAGAUGUUGCAAGGUGGUCAAGUGAUUACGUAAUAUAUUUUGGUAUGACUUGCAUGUGGAAAGCAAGUGACUAUGUUUAGACAUCCGUAAUAUUACGUGGGUUGUGUUUUGGGAAGCCUUUGUUUUUAGGAAACCUUUA
Brassica oleracea var. oleracea is the source of this 1227-nucleotide long non-coding RNA. RefSeq lists it as uncharacterized. The record is from RefSeq and is a predicted model, not a curated record. NCBI's taxonomy places the organism in Eukaryota, Viridiplantae, Streptophyta, Magnoliopsida, Brassicales, Brassicaceae. The transcript has 3 exons.